AAAGUAGGGGAUCGCAAGACCUUACGCUUUUGGAGCGGCCGAUGUCUGAUUAGCUAGUUGGUGAGGUAAAGGCUUACCAAGGCUUCGAUCAGUAGCUGGUCUGAGAGGACGACCAGCCACACUGGGACUGAGACACGGCCCAGACUCCUACGGGAGGCAGCAGUGGGGAAUUUUGGACAAUGGGCGAAACCCUGAUCCAGCCAUGCCGCGUGAGUGAAGAAGGCCUUCGGGUUGUAAAGCUCUUUCAGCCGGAAAGAAACGGUUACGAUUAAUACCUGUAACUAAUGACGGUACCGAAAGAAGAAGCACCGGCUAACUACGUGCCAGCAGCCGCGGUAAUACGUAGGGUGCGAGCGUUAAUCGGAAUUACUGGGCGUAAAGGGUGCGCAGGCGGUUUUGUAAGUCAGAUGUGAAAUCCCCGGGCUUAACCUGGGAACUGCGUUUGAAACUACAAGGCUAGA
RNAcentral lists this ribosomal RNA (461 nucleotides) under uncultured ammonia-oxidizing beta proteobacterium. Its description in RNAcentral is "bacterial SSU rRNA". It matches the Rfam family "Bacterial small subunit ribosomal RNA", at positions 202 to 645 of the family's 1533-position model. Lineage: Bacteria; Pseudomonadati; Pseudomonadota; Betaproteobacteria. The record is from RNAcentral.